GUAAUGUUUUACUUUAGUUUACUAAUUAUUUUCUAAAAUAUUAUUAUUUAUUCUUAAAAUUCUACUUUAAUUUACUUUAUGAAAUAAAUGAGAGAUGAAAACACAUGAUUGAGUUGAUUUGACACGUUUUCGCGACCUAAUUGAAUGAUUUGGGUUCGGUAGGCUUUGUAAGCAUGAAGUUAUUGAUGUCCUUGGCAAUUUAUGAUUCUACAAAUCUUGUCUUUCUUUAAUUUAUUUUUCAUAUUAUUAAACAUUUGUCUGUACUAUAUCCUAAUUAGAAUUUAAUCAAUUAUAAAAUUGAAACCUAUAAAGUAGUUCGGCCCACAUAAUUUACGUCCCAAGACGAUUCGUCAAUAUAUAUAACUAUGUUUAUAUUUUAGUGAUAGUAUAAUACAGUGUUAAUUAGUUUGAAAAAAAUACAUUAUUAUUAAGUUAAAUAACAAAUUUGAGUGUUAAACUUUAAAGUUCAAUAGUCGUAAAUUUAUGGGGAAUAAUAAAUCUAUUUCUAUUUUAUUAUAUAUUAUUUUAUAUUCUAGAUCCUGGUCCUGGCUGAAAUUUAGAGUAUUGCAGCUGUAGCCUGUAUACCAUACAUUCAACAUGAAAAGGACUGUCAGGAUGCUGCAUAAAAUGGUCUUAGCUAGAGCCUAGAAUGUUAAUUUCUUGGGAAUAUGCUGCAAGGAACUGACGGGGAGCAGUUUUUCUUACCAAUCAUAGAGGCAGUAAGAAACAGCCAAAGAAGUACUCAAACACUUGAUAUACCCAGAAAUAUCUAGAAGAAAAGAUUGGAACAGAUUGAAGCUUAAUUGUUAAAACUAUUAAAGUGAAUUUAAACUGCACUUGAACUGUAUUUUUGAAAU
Molecule: long non-coding RNA, 857 nt
Organism: Ruditapes philippinarum (Manila clam)
Lineage: Eukaryota; Metazoa; Mollusca; Bivalvia; Venerida; Veneridae
Exons: 3
Source: RefSeq, a predicted model, not a curated record